UGGUCAAGUUAUUAAGGGUGCAGGGCGGAUGCCUUGGCACUAGGAGCCGAUGAAGGACGUGAUAAGCUGCGAUAAGCUUCGGGGAGUUGCACGUAAACUUUGAUCCGAAGAUUUCCGAAUGAGGAAACUCACUUAGAGUAAUGUCUAAGUAUCAUUAAGUGAAUACAUAGCUUAAUGAGGGGAACUCAGGGAACUGAAACAUCUAAGUACCUGAAGGAAGAGAAAGAAAUUCGAUUCCGUAAGUAGCGGCGAGCGAACGCGGAUUAGCCCAAACCAAUAAAGUUUUCUUUAUUGGGGUUGCGGACAUAUCAUAACGAAGAGGUAUCGUAAUUGAAGAGGUUUGGAAAGAUCCACCACAGAAGGUAAUAGUCCUGUAUGUUAAACGAGAAGACUUUAGAUAUGAUCCAGAGUACCACGGGACACGUGAAACCCUGUGGGAAGCAGGAGGGACCACCCUCCAAGGCUAAAUACUACCUAGUGACCGAUAGCGUAUAGUACCGUGAGGGAAAGGUGAAAAGAACCCCGGGAGGGGAGUGAAAUAGAACCUGAAACCCUGCACUUACAAGCUGUGGAAGCACAUUUCUUGUGUGACCGCGUACUUUUUGUAGAACGGGCCAACGAGUUACGUUAAGUAGCAAGGUUAAGCACUUAAGGUGCGGAGCCGUAGCGAAAGCGAGUUUUAACUGAGCGUUCAGUUACUUGACGUAGACCCGAAACCGGGCGACCUACCCAUGAGCAGGAUGAAGCGAAAGUAAAAUUUCGUGGAGGUCCGAACCCACGAGCGUUGAAAAGCUCGGGGAUGACUUGUGGGUA
This 813-nucleotide ribosomal RNA is filed under the name Clostridioides difficile. RNAcentral's name for it is "partial 23S ribosomal RNA". It matches the Rfam family "Bacterial large subunit ribosomal RNA", at positions 1 to 817 of the family's 2925-position model. Lineage: Bacteria; Bacillati; Bacillota; Clostridia; Peptostreptococcales; Peptostreptococcaceae. The record is from RNAcentral.